GCCCUCGCGGUGGCUGCCGCAGCGGUCUUACUCCUGCUCAAGCGGGUCACCCACAUUGUGGUGAAGAGCACCAGGCUGCUGCUUGGAUAUUGCCGCCACUACCUCAUUGAAAGCACAGCUGACGGUGCGGGAACGGCCAUGGAAGUCAUAAGUCAGAUACACAUCCCCAGCAGUUCUUUUCAAAGCGUGCUCGUCGCCAGCUUCCUGGGACUCUGUGUUUUGGUGUGCGCCCUGAAGCCGUGGCGACGGCUCUCCCGCAUGCGGGCGCACCGUGCGAGAGCUCCCGCUGUCCCAAGUCGGCUAUCAGCCGGCGAACCGGCUGGCACGGACUUCCUGGAAGACAACGAUCCGCUGAGCUCUGAACAC
RNAcentral lists this long non-coding RNA (366 nucleotides) under Dermacentor andersoni. RNAcentral's name for it is "uncharacterized LOC126521410". The record is from RNAcentral. Lineage: Eukaryota; Metazoa; Arthropoda; Arachnida; Ixodida; Ixodidae.